GACGAACGCUGGCGGCGUGCCUAAUACAUGCAAGUCGAACGCAGUGGGGACGGGUGAGUAACACGUGGGUAACCUCCCAUCAGAGGGGAUAAAACUUGGAAACAGGUGCUAAACCGAUACUGAUGGAUGAACCCGCGGUGCAUUAGCUAGUUGGUGGGGUAACGGCCAACCAAGGCCACGAUGCCUAGCCGACCUGGUAGGAUGAUCGGCCCAACGGUGGUGGAGACACGGCCCAUACUCCUACGGGGGGCAGAAUGAGGGAAUCUUCGGCAAUGGACGAAAGGCUGACCGAGCAACGCCGCGUGAGUGAAGAAGGUUUUCGGAUCGUAAAACUCUGUUGUUAUAGAAGCGGUAUCUAACCAGAAAGCCACGGCUAACUACGUGCCAGCGGCCGCGGUAAUAC
Molecule: ribosomal RNA, 403 nt
Filed under: uncultured bacterium
Lineage: Bacteria
Description: partial 16S ribosomal RNA
Rfam family: Bacterial small subunit ribosomal RNA
Source: RNAcentral